Molecule: ribosomal RNA, 406 nt
Filed under: uncultured bacterium
Lineage: Bacteria
Description: partial 16S ribosomal RNA
Rfam family: Bacterial small subunit ribosomal RNA
Source: RNAcentral
AUUGAACGCUGGCGGCAGGCCUAACACAUGCAAGUCGAACGAGCGGCGGACGGGUGAGUAAUGUCUGGGAAACUGCCCGAUGGAGGGGGAUAACUACUGGAAACGGUAGCUAAUACCGCAUACCAUCAGAUGUGCCCAGAUGGGAUUAGCUAGUUGGUGGGGUAACGGCUCACCUAGGCGACGAUCCCUAGCUGGUCUGAGAGGAUGAACAGCCACACUGGGACUGAGACACGGCCCAGACUCCUACGGGAGGCAGCAGGGGGGAAUAUUGCACAAUGGGCGCAAGCCUGAUGCAGCCAUGCCGCGUGUAUGAAGAAGGCCUUCGGGUUGUAAAGUACUUUCAGCGGGGAGGCGUUACCCGCAGAAGAAGCACCGGCUAACUCCGUGCCAGCAGCCGCGGUAAUAC